AACUUUUGGAUCCCAACUUUUUGGAAGGGAUCUUAAGAUUUUAGUUACUAGUUCAAAGUUAAAAAAAUCUUUACCAAGAGCUUUGAGUCCAUUGAUGAUAUCCGUGAAACAGGUGUACAUGUCUUCGAUGGACUCACUUGGUUUCAUUCGGAAAAGUUCGUAAGAGUACACAAGAAUAUUGAUUUUGGAUUUUUUCACUCGGCUAGUGCCUUCAUGAGUGACCUCAAGAGUUCUCCAAAUAUCAAAAGCCGAAUCACAAAUUGAAAUACGAUUAAAUUCAUUUUUGUCUAAUGCACAAAACAAGGCAUUCAUAGC
This 315-nucleotide long non-coding RNA is filed under the name Musa acuminata (dwarf banana). RNAcentral's name for it is "long non-coding RNA (MACU_LNC008877)". The record is from RNAcentral. Lineage: Eukaryota; Viridiplantae; Streptophyta; Magnoliopsida; Zingiberales; Musaceae.